This is a long non-coding RNA of Cyprinodon variegatus (sheepshead minnow), 620 nucleotides long. RefSeq lists it as uncharacterized. The record is from RefSeq and is a predicted model, not a curated record. Lineage: Eukaryota; Metazoa; Chordata; Actinopteri; Cyprinodontiformes; Cyprinodontidae. The transcript has 4 exons.
UGUUUUUAAAGUGUGGAUAACUUUUUCUAUGUUUCAGACAGAGCUCAGACCCCUCUGGAAGAGACAAUUUGCAGAAAUAAGACUCGAGAUACAUGCAAACUUAGGCAACAGACUAGGCAGUAUCUCCAGAAAGGAUGGCUGUAUUUCCAUGACAGGUUGUAUUAUAUAUCUUCCACCGAGAAAACUUGGCAUGAGAGCAAAGAGUACUGCAGGCAACAAGGCGCUGAGCUGGUGAUCAUAAACAACAAAGAGGAACAGGACUUUACAAGGCAGUUUAACAGGUUGACAUGGAUUGGAUUGCAUGACCCAGCUAUGACAAGGGAGUGGACAUGGGUGAACGGAGAUCCUCUUAUCACAAGCUACUGGGGACCUGGAGAGCCAAACGGUUAUGAAAACAACACUGAAAGCUGUGUAGAGAUAAGGGAUUUUAACUGGAAUGAUGAACCCUGUGGCAAUCAAAAGUUUUGGAUCUGUGAGAAAGAUGGAGUCUUUUAAAUACCAAAAUACAUCCUUUGAAAUUGAUCAUAUAAAUGUAAAAAUAACAAUAAUAUCAGCAUUAUAUAAUUUGAUCUUUGCAUAGUUUUUUAAAAGUUGAAAGCAAAUACUGUAAAUGCCCUCAU